Molecule: ribosomal RNA, 253 nt
Filed under: uncultured bacterium
Lineage: Bacteria
Description: partial 16S ribosomal RNA
Rfam family: Bacterial small subunit ribosomal RNA
Source: RNAcentral
UACAGAGGUCUCAAGCGUUGUUCGGAUUCAUUGGGCGUAAAGGGUGCGUAGGCGGCGCGGUAAGUCGGGUGUGAAAUUUCGGAGCUUAACUCCGAAACUGCAUUCGAUACUGCCGUGCUUGAGGACUGGAGAGGAGACUGGAAUUUACGGUGUAGCAGUGAAAUGCGUAGAUAUCGUAAGGAAGACCAGUGGCGAAGGCGGGUCUCUGGACAGUUCCUGACACUGAGGCACGAAGGCCAGGGGAGCAAACGGG